GAUGAACGCUGGCGGCGUGCCUAAUACAUGCAAGUCGAGCGAACGGACGAGAAGCUUGCUUCUCUGAUGUUAGCGGCGGACGGGUGAGUAACACGUGGAUAACCUACCUAUAAGACUGGGAUAACUUCGGGAAACCGGAGCUAAUACCGGAUAAUAUUUUGAACCGCAUGGUUCAAAAGUGAAAGACGGUCUUGCUGUCACUUAUAGAUGGAUCCGCGCUGCAUUAGCUAGUUGGUAAGGUAACGGCUUACCAAGGCAACGAUGCAUAGCCGACCUGAGAGGGUGAUCGGCCACACUGGAACUGAGACACGGUCCAGACUCCUACGGGAGGCAGCAGUAGGGAAUCUUCCGCAAUGGGCGAAAGCCUGACGGAGCAACGCCGCGUGAGUGAUGAAGGUCUUCGGAUCGUAAAACUCUGUUAUUAGGGAAGAACAUAUGUGUAAGUAACUGUGCACAUCUUGACGGUACCUAAUCAGAAAGCCACGGCUAACUACGUGCCAGCAGCCGCGGUAAUACGUAGGUGGCAAGCGUUAUCCGGAAUUAUUGGGCGUAAAGCGCGCGUAGGCGGUUUUUUAAGUCUGAUGUGAAAGCCCACGGCUCAACCGUGGAGGGUCAUUGGAAACUGGAAAACUUGAGUGCGGAAGAGGAAAGUGGAAUUCCAUGUGUAGCGGUGAAAUGCGCAGAGAUAUGGAGGAACACCAGUGGCGAAGGCGACUUUCUGGUCUGUAACUGACGCUGAUGUGCGAAAGCGUGGGGAUCAAACAGGAUUAGAUACCCUGGUAGUCCACGCCGUAAACGAUGAGUGCUAAGUGUUAGGGGGUUUCCGCCCCUUAGUGCUGCAGCUAACGCAUUAAGCACUCCGCCUGGGGAGUACGACCGCAAGGUUGAAACUCAAAGGAAUUGACGGGGACCCGCACAAGCGGUGGAGCAUGUGGUUUAAUUCGAAGCAACGCGAAGAACCUUACCAAAUCUUGACAUCCUUUGACAACUCUAGAGAUAGAGCUUUCCCCUUCGGGGGACAAAGUGACAGGUGGUGCAUGGUUGUCGUCAGCUCGUGUCGUGAGAUGUUGGGUUAAGUCCCGCAACGAGCGCAACCCUUAAGCUUAGUUGCCAUCAUUAAGUUGGGCACUCUAAGUUGACUGCCGGUGACAAACCGGAGGAAGGUGGGGAUGACGUCAAAUCAUCAUGCCCCUUAUGAUUUGGGCUACACACGUGCUACAAUGGACAAUACAAAGGGCAGCGAAACCGCGAGGUCAAGCAAAUCCCAUAAAGUUGUUCUCAGUUCGGAUUGUAGUCUGCAACUCGACUACAUGAAGCUGGAAUCGCUAGUAAUCGUAGAUCAGCAUGCUACGGUGAAUACGCUCCCGGGUCU
Molecule: ribosomal RNA, 1372 nt
Filed under: uncultured bacterium
Lineage: Bacteria
Description: bacterial SSU rRNA
Rfam family: Bacterial small subunit ribosomal RNA
Source: RNAcentral